AGCUCCAAUAGCGUAUAUUAAAGUUGUUGCAGUUAAAAAGCUCGUAGUUGGAUUUCGGACUGGCAGCGCUCGGUCGGCCGCAAGGUCUGUUUACUGUGCGCUGCUGUCUUCUUCUCAGAGUCGCGUGGUGUACUUGACUGUGCGCCUCGUCCGAAUUUGAGACGUUUACUUUGAAAAAAUUAGAGUGUUCAAAGCAGGCUACACACGCCCGAAUACAUGAGCAUGGAAUAAUGGAAUAGGACUUUGGUCCCAUUUUGUUGGUUUCUGGAACCGAAGUAAUGAUUAAGAGGGACAAUUGGGGGCAUCCGUAUUUCGUUGUCAGAGGUGAAAUUCUUGGAUUUACGAAAGACGAACAACUGCGAAAGCAUUUGCCAAGAGUGUUUUCA
Molecule: ribosomal RNA, 386 nt
Filed under: uncultured eukaryote
Lineage: Eukaryota
Description: SSU rRNA
Rfam family: Eukaryotic small subunit ribosomal RNA
Source: RNAcentral